This 622-nucleotide ribosomal RNA is filed under the name uncultured bacterium. RNAcentral's name for it is "bacterial SSU rRNA". It matches the Rfam family "Bacterial small subunit ribosomal RNA", at positions 202 to 826 of the family's 1533-position model. The record is from RNAcentral.
GAAAACUCCGGUGGUACGGGAUGGACCCGCGUCUGAUUAGCUGGUUGGCGGGGUAACGGCCCACCAAGGCGACGAUCAGUAGCCGGCCUGAGAGGGCGGACGGCCACAUUGGGACUGAGACACGGCCCAAACUCCUACGGGAGGCAGCAGUGGGGAAUAUUGCACAAUGGGGGAAACCCUGAUGCAGCGACGCCGCGUGAGUGAAGAAGCGUUUCGGCGCGUAAAGCUCUGUCAGCGGGGAAGAAACACGGUUCGCGAGAGCCGCGGACGGUACCCGACCAAGAAGCCCCGGCUAACUACGUGCCAGCAGCCGCGGUAAUACGUAGGGGGCAAGCGUUAUCCGGAUUCACUGGGUGUAAAGGGAGCGUAGACGGCGAGACAAGUCUGGAGUGAAAGGCCGGGGCCCAACCCCGGGACUGCUCUGGAAACUGCCUGGCUGGAGUACAGGAGAGGUAAGUGGAAUUCCUAGUGUAGCGGUGAAAUGCGUAGAUAUUAGGAGGAACACCAGUGGCGAAGGCGGCUUACUGGACUGUAACUGACGUUGAGGCUCGAAAGCGUGGGGAGCAAACAGGAUUAGAUACCCUGGUAGUCCACGCCGUAAACGAUGAUCACUAGGUGUCGG